This 460-nucleotide ribosomal RNA is filed under the name uncultured bacterium. Its description in RNAcentral is "partial 16S ribosomal RNA". It matches the Rfam family "Bacterial small subunit ribosomal RNA", at positions 338 to 795 of the family's 1533-position model. The record is from RNAcentral.
CCUACGGGAGGCAGCAGUGAGGAAUAUUGGUCAAUGGACGAGCGUCUGAACCAGCCAAGUAGCGUGAAGGAUGACUGCCCUAUGGGUUGUAAACUUCUUUUAUAUGGGAAUAAAACAGGGUAUGCAUACCCUCUUGUAUGUACCAUCUGAAUAAGGAUCGGCUAACUCCGUGCCAGCAGCCGCGGUAAUACGGAGGAUCCGAGCGUUAUCCGGAUUUAUUGGGGUUAAAGGGAGCGUAGGUGGAUUGUUAAGUCAGUUGUGAAAGUUUGCGGCUCAACCGUAAAAUUGCAGUUGAAACUGGCAGUCGUGAGUACAGUAGAGGUGUGCGGAAUUCGUGGUGUAGCGGUGAAAUGCUUAGAUAUCACGAAGAACUCCGAUUGCGAAGGCAGCUCACUGGACUGCAACUGACACUGAUGCUCGAAAGUGUGGGUAUCAAACAGGAUUAGAUACCCUUGUAGUC